This 30-nucleotide non-coding RNA is filed under the name Mus musculus (house mouse). Lineage: Eukaryota; Metazoa; Chordata; Mammalia; Rodentia; Muridae. The record is from RNAcentral.
UACCUGAUGUUGUUGAGUCUCGAAGUCACU